AGUUCCUUAGAGAGAAGCUUCCUGCCAGCCAAAUUAUUUUCCAAGUCAUCAGUGUGCGAGAGUGGCAGAACAUGGCUGUGUCCAAAUUCAGGGGCUCCUUCCUUCAAAAGCCACAUUUGAAGACCGAUUAUGUCAGAGUGAAAUGAUGAAAGCUGUCCAAUGUCAUACAAAUGUGGCCAACAAAUGCGUCCUACUUUCGUCAGUUUUGGAGGAUGGGUCGGGUCUAUCAUUCAUGGUCCCCGCUAUACCAGGAUUCAUUGCAAAUCUAAGGUUGAAGGAAUUUUGGGGGAAAAAUGGUGGAUGGUCAAACGAAGUGAUCCAGAAAUAAACUUUUAAAAUAUUCAGAGUCAGGAGAGACUGAAAAACCCACCAGUGAGAGGUGAUGGGACAGAGGUUUCCACCCCUGAUGAAACAGCCGGAAAAUUCAGCAAUGCGAGGAAGAUGAGGAGGAAGAGGAGCCAGCAGCAGCUCAGAGAAGACGAGGAGAACAAAUAGCUGUUCUCUGUAGUUUAGAAAAUGGUGGAAUCAUUUAAAAGAAAUUCUAGAUAUUUGUUUCUUGUGUUUGCAGCGGUAUCGCCAACACAAAAUAUAACAGCUUCAUUCAGGGAAUCACAAAAAUAAAUUUGUGAUCAAUCACUGAUGUUUAUCCUGCAGGAAAGGACAGGGGAAAGAAGGAAAAAUAAAGGCAAGCACAGACAACUUUGAUGAUGCUUUGAUGUAUCCAGAAUAUAUUUAGUUAAACAUUAAAUAUUUAGUUUAGUUAACAAAGUGGGAUUGUGUUAGUUUUAGUGGAAAAUGUGUGCAGCUGACUUAAAUAAAAUGUUCAAAUGAA
This is a long non-coding RNA of Oreochromis aureus, 832 nucleotides long. RefSeq lists it as uncharacterized. The transcript is spliced from 2 exons. NCBI's taxonomy places the organism in Eukaryota, Metazoa, Chordata, Actinopteri, Cichliformes, Cichlidae. The record is from RefSeq and is a predicted model, not a curated record.